Molecule: long non-coding RNA, 367 nt
Filed under: Nicotiana benthamiana
Lineage: Eukaryota; Viridiplantae; Streptophyta; Magnoliopsida; Solanales; Solanaceae
Description: long non-coding RNA (NBEN_LNC012578)
Source: RNAcentral
AAGAAUUGAAAGGAAUUCUUUUAAAAUCAUUUGAAUUAACCAGUCUAGAGCAUUAUACAAACAGGGCAAAAGGGGGAGGGAACAGAUAAGCAUAGUAAACUACUCACACACAAGCAACACACUGGAGAAAAUCAAACCUGAUUGCAAAGUAGGAGUUCAGUACCAAAUCCUAACAUAACCAAACAUAGGGAGAGGUUUUAGACUAAUAAAAUAGUUAAGCGGACUUGGACACAUGGUAGUAGACAAAGCAAGGAACAAAACAUGCAUUGAGGUAUGGAAGGGGUAAGGGGAACAUGCCAAGCCAAUCUAUGUAAACUGGUAAGUGUAUACUAAUGACAGCAAGAGCAGCAGAAACAUAGGUAAAAGC